RNAcentral lists this ribosomal RNA (462 nucleotides) under uncultured bacterium. Its description in RNAcentral is "partial 16S ribosomal RNA". It matches the Rfam family "Bacterial small subunit ribosomal RNA", at positions 28 to 507 of the family's 1533-position model. The record is from RNAcentral.
GACGAACGCUGGCGGCGUGCUUAACACAUGCAAGUCGAACGGAAAGGCCCUUCGGGGUACUCGAGUGGCGAACGGGUGAGUAACACGUGGGUGAUCUGCCCUGCACUUUGGGAUAAGCCUGGGAAACUGGGUCUAAUACCGAAUAGGACCACGCGCUUCAUGGUGUGUGGUGGAAAGCUUUUGCGGUGUGGGAUGGGCCCGCGGCCUAUCAGCUUGUUGGUGGGGUAAUGGCCUACCAAGGCGACGACGGGUAGCCGGCCUGAGAGGGUGACCGGCCACACUGGGACUGCGAUACGGCCCAGACUCCUACGGGAGGCAGCAGUGGGGAAUAUUGCACAAUGGGCGCAAGCCUGAUGCAGCGACGCCGCGUGAGUGAUGACGGCCUUCGGGUUGUAAACCUCUUUCACCAGGGACGAAGCGUAAGUGACGGUACCUGGAGAAGAAGCCCCGGCCAACUACGUG